Molecule: unclassified non-coding RNA, 375 nt
Filed under: uncultured bacterium
Lineage: Bacteria
Description: contains 16S-23S intergenic spacer region
Source: RNAcentral
UCCGGCUCGUCACCGGCAGUUCCUUCAGAGUGCCCAGCCAAACCUGAUGGCAACUGAAGGCGAGGGUUGCGCUCGUUGCGGGACUUAACCCAACAUCUCACGACACGAGCUGACGACAGCCAUGCAGCACCUGUGCAAGAGGCCCUCGCGGGAACGUACAUCUCUGUACGCAUCCUCUCCAUGUCAAGUCCUGGUAAGGUUCUGCGCGUUGCGUCGAAUUAAACCACAUGCUCCUCCGCUUGUGCGGGCCCCCGUCAAUUCCUUUGAGUUUCAGCCUUGCGGCCGUACUCCCCAGGUGGAUCACUUAAUGCUUUUGCUUAGCCGCUAACUGUGUAUCGCUAACAGCGAGUGAUCAUCGUUUACGGCGUGGACUAC